AUGGCGAACGCCGGCUGCAAACCCGUCUCGGUUCCUACGACGGCUUGCUCGACUUCGGCUUCCCUGAAAGCGCCUCGCAACGAAUCGAAAAGAGCGAGCGAGCUCCAAGGACGUAAUCGAAGCGCCAAAUCAAUCUCGAAAGCACGGCGGCUACGGGCGCAGCCAUUUCUCCCCCAGCCUCUGCGCGCGACGAUGCAAGAUCAAACGGGCAGYGCACUUGAGGGGAGGGGGAAAAAAAAAGAAAAAAAAAAGAGGAGCAAAGAAAACACAAAACCACAGCCCAGCGAAAGGAAUCAAUUCAUGCAAACGGGCUCCCUUGUGCUGCAAGAAAGCCCAGCACGGGGAACGGGGAAGCGGAGGGCAGCGUCGCGGCUGCUUGCCAUUUUGCAAGCGCGCGUUCACAAACCGCGUGUUCAUCCCCCUGCUGCUUCGAAGCAAAGAGACGGCCYGGAAAUACUGUCAGCUCAACGACCGCCUGUGCGUAUCAGGCCGCCGCACAAGCAGCGAGGCGCAUACAGUUCAAAGGACAGGGAAAAACUUGCAGCUCCUCCUUCUUCUUAUUUUAAGGGGGGGAGCCCUUGGCAUAAGCCAAGCCUUGAACGACAGCACCAGCCCGCACCGAAUCAGUGCCGCUCCUCUGGAGCGAAAACUGUCUUGCAAAGAGCCCAGCCUCUGCCCCGGAGAGAGCUGGCUGCCUUCGGAGAGGGCAAAAUGUCCACGCAAGGGAGAGGGCCGAUUCCAGCUGCACUUCUGCACCCCCUUCGCAUGCUGUGGCUAGUUACUCCCAAACUCAAAGCCAGACCUAAAGCAAACCAGGCAAAGUUUGCUCUGCCAAAAAACACUGGCUCUGCUGAACACGUCUUUGCUUUUGCAAGGAGCAAAGCAAAGAGCUAUGGUUUUAUUAGGAUAAAUUUCUUCCACGGGAAGGGCUUCACUUUUAAUUACACCAUUUUAAGGUUACAAAUUGUUUUCUGGCCCUUAUGCAUAAUUAAAUAUAGAUGUUCUCUGAGCUUAAUGUCAGUUGAAAUUCCAGGCCAGGGCAAGUAA
This 1047-nucleotide long non-coding RNA is filed under the name Apteryx haastii (Great spotted kiwi). Its description in RNAcentral is "lncRNA (ENSAHAG00000001397.1)". Lineage: Eukaryota; Metazoa; Chordata; Aves; Apterygiformes; Apterygidae. The record is from RNAcentral.